GGUUAAGCGACUAAGCGUACACGGUGGAUGCCCUGGCAGUCAGAGGCGAUGAAGGACGUGCUAAUCUGCGAAAAGCGCCGGCGAGGUGAUAUGAACCUUUGACCCGGCGAUGUCCGAAUGGGGAAACCCAGUGUGAUUCGUCACACUAUCGUUAACUGAAUACAUAGGUUAACGAGGCGAACCGGGGGAACUGAAACAUCUAAGUACCCCGAGGAAAAGAAAUCAACCGAGAUUCCCCCAGUAGCGGCGAGCGAACGGGGAGCAGCCCGGAGUCUGAAUCAGCUUGUGUGUUAGUGGAACGGUCUGGAAAGUCCGACGGUACAGGGUGAUAGUCCCGUACACGAAAAUGCACAGGUUGUGAACUCGAAGAGUAGGGCGGGACACGUGGUAUCCUGUCUGAAUAUGGGGGGACCAUCCUCCAAGGCUAAAUACUCCUGACUGACCGAUAGUGAACCAGUACCGUGAGGGAAAGGCGAAAAGAACCCCGGCGAGGGGAGUGAAAAAGAACCUGAAACCGUGUACGUACAAGCAGUGGGAGCCUACUUGUUAGGUGACUGCGUACCUUUUGUAUAAUGGGUCAGCGACUUAUAUUCUGUAGCAAGGUUAACCGAAUAGGGGAGCCGAAGGGAAACCGAGUCUUAACUGGGCGUUAAGUUGCAGGGUAUAGACCCGAAACCCGGUGAUCUAGCCAUGGGCAGGUUGAAGGUUGGGUAACACUAACUGGAGGACCGAACCGACUAAUGUUGAAAAAUUAGCGGAUGACCUGUGGCUGGGGGUGAAAGGCCAAUCAAACCGGGAGAUAGCUGGUUCUCCCCGAAAGCUAUUUAGGUAGCGCCUCGUGAACUCAUCUUCGGGGGUAGAGCACUGUUUCGGCUAGGGGGCCAUCCCGGCUUACCAACCCGAUGCAAACUACGAAUACCGAAGAAUGUUAUCACGGGAGACACACGGCGGGUGCUAACGUCCGUCGUGAAGAGGGAAACAACCCAGACCGCCAGCUAAGGUCCCAAAGUCAUGGUUAAGUGGGAAACGAUGUGGGAAGGCACAGACAGCCAGGAUGUUGGCUUAGAAGCAGCCAUCAUUUAAAGAAAGCGUAAUAGCUCACUGGUCGAGUCGGCCUGCGCGGAAGAUGUAACGGGGCUAAACCAUGCACCGAAGCUGCGGCAGCGACGCUUAUGCGUUGUUGGGUAGGGGAGCGUUCUGUAAGCCGUUGAAGGUGGCCUGUGAGGGUUGCUGGAGGUAUCAGAAGUGCGAAUGCUGACAUAAGUAACGAUAAAGCGGGUGAAAAGCCCGCUCGCCGGAAGACCAAGGGUUCCUGUCCAACGUUAAUCGGGGCAGGGUGAGUCGACCCCUAAGGCGAGGCCGAAAGGCGUAGUCGAUGGGAAACAGGUUAAUAUUCCUGUACUUGGUGUUACUGCGAAGGGGGGACGGAGAAGGCUAUGUUAGCCGGGCGACGGUUGUCCCGGUUUAAGCAUGUAGGCGGAGGUUCCAGGUAAAUCCGGUACCUUUUAACGCUGAGGUGUGAUGACGAGGCACUACGGUGCUGAAGUAACAAAUGCCCUGCUUCCAGGAAAAGCCUCUAAGCAUCAGGUAACACGAAAUCGUACCCCAAACCGACACAGGUGGUCAGGUAGAGAAUACCAAGGCGCUUGAGAGAACUCGGGUGAAGGAACUAGGCAAAAUGGUGCCGUAACUUCGGGAGAAGGCACGCUGAUAUGUAGGUGAAGCCCCUGCGGGUGGAGCUGAAAUCAGUCGAAGAUACCAGCUGGCUGCAACUGUUUAUUAAAAACACAGCACUGUGCAAACACGAAAGUGGACGUAUACGGUGUGACGCCUGCCCGGUGCCGGAAGGUUAAUUGAUGGGGUUAGCGGCAACGCGAAGCUCUUGAUCGAAGCCCCGGUAAACGGCGGCCGUAACUAUAACGGUCCUAAGGUAGCGAAAUUCCUUGUCGGGUAAGUUCCGACCUGCACGAAUGGCGUAAUGAUGGCCAGGCUGUCUCCACCCGAGACUCAGUGAAAUUGAACUCGCUGUGAAGAUGCAGUGUACCCGCGGCAAGACGGAAAGACCCCGUGAACCUUUACUAUAGCUUGACACUGAACACUGGUCCUUGAUGUGUAGGAUAGGUGGGAGGCUUUGAAGCGUGGACGCCAGUCUGCGUGGAGCCGACCUUGAAAUACCACCCUUUAAUGGCUGGUGUUCUAACGUAGACCCGUAAUCCGGGUUGCGGACAGUGUCUGGUGGGUAGUUUGACUGGGGCGGUCUCCUCCCAAAGAGUAACGGAGGAGCACGAAGGUUAGCUAAUCCUGGUCGGACAUCAGGAGGUUAGUGCAAUGGCAUAAGCUAGCUUGACUGCGAGAGUGACGGCUCGAGCAGGUGCGAAAGCAGGUCAUAGUGAUCCGGUGGUUCUGAAUGGAAGGGCCAUCGCUCAACGGAUAAAAGGUACUCCGGGGAUAACAGGCUGAUACCGCCCAAGAGUUCAUAUCGACGGCGGUGUUUGGCACCUCGAUGUCGGCUCAUCACAUCCUGGGGCUGAAGUAGGUCCCAAGGGUAUGGCUGUUCGCCAUUUAAAGUGGUACGCGAGCUGGGUUUAGAACGUCGUGAGACAGUUCGGUCCCUAUCUGCCGUGGGCGCUGGAGAAUUGAGGGGGGCUGCUCCUAGUACGAGAGGACCGGAGUGGACGCAUCACUGGUGUUCGGGUUGUCAUGCCAAUGGCACUGCCCGGUAGCUAAAUGCGGAAGAGAUAAGUGCUGAAAGCAUCUAAGCACGAAACUUGCCCCGAGAUGAGUUCUCCCUGAGACUAUAAGUCUCCUGAAGGAACGUUGAAGACGACGACGUUGAUAGGUCGGGUGUGUAAGCGCAGCGAUGCGUUGAGCUAACCGAUACUAAUGAACCGUGAGGCUUAACCUU
This 2905-nucleotide ribosomal RNA is filed under the name Enterobacter kobei. RNAcentral's name for it is "23S ribosomal RNA". It matches the Rfam family "Bacterial large subunit ribosomal RNA". The record is from RNAcentral. Lineage: Bacteria; Pseudomonadati; Pseudomonadota; Gammaproteobacteria; Enterobacterales; Enterobacteriaceae.